AUAGGAGAUAAAGGAUUUGCAGUCCCCUACCUUACCACUUGGCCAUGCCGUCAAAUCUUAUAAAAAAUGGACAAUAUUUUUAUCCAUCUAUAUUCAGACUGCUAUUGGAUUGAUUGAUGUUGAUAACUUAUCUGGAUAAAAAAAAAGGCAGAAAAAAAAAGAAGGCAUCCUAUUGGCUCAUCUGCAUCAAUGGUUGCAAACUAGCCUGCAAAGAAGUGAAGUCUCGCCUAGGAAACCUAUGGCAGAAGUA
RNAcentral lists this long non-coding RNA (250 nucleotides) under Elaeis guineensis (African oil palm). Its description in RNAcentral is "long non-coding RNA (EGUI_LNC024515)". The record is from RNAcentral. Lineage: Eukaryota; Viridiplantae; Streptophyta; Magnoliopsida; Arecales; Arecaceae.